AACCAUGGCCAUACCACCCUGAAUGCACCCGUUCUCGUCUGAUCUCGGAAGCUAAGCAGGGUUGGGCCUGGUUAGUACUUGGAUGGGAUGAAUCGCUAAAUCUCAGUGUCUUC
This 113-nucleotide ribosomal RNA is filed under the name Ochotona princeps (American pika). The record is from RNAcentral. Lineage: Eukaryota; Metazoa; Chordata; Mammalia; Lagomorpha; Ochotonidae.